UGAUUGUUCAGUGAGCCGCUCUCAGCUCUCCGGCAGCUCGAGCUUUGCAGCCAGUCAGCCCCUGGAGCUAUCUGCGCAGAACUGAGUAACCUCGGUCUCUGCUGCCAAAAGGUUUCUCAGCUCCGUGCUGCUCUUGAAUGACACUCUGUCAUUAUGCUAUACUUAGGCCAUCAAAGUUGUAAUUAGCUUUGUUCUGCUGCAAACUGAUCCCGCCUCACAGGCAAUAUAAAAGGUAAUAAAGUGAGUAGGCAGAUAUAUAAACCUGGAUGAGCCUCAUACGCAGGAAAAUACCAUGAUUCCCAAGAACCAAAGAAAGGGACCAAAGAGAAGGGGCUGCCAUGACUGCGAAAGUUGAAAAAAGACUGUCAGGAGAGGCCACCUGGAAAGCUCCACCCUGGUAUUAUCUGAGAUCUGAGCCACGUUUUCAAUGUCACACAGUUGUGUGUUUGCCGGAGUGGAUGCUGUAUACGGGAAAGGCACUGACAGGAAGGAAUGGAUCAGGAGAUGGUGUUGUGUCUAGUAUUUUGUGUGUUAUGGGAGAGCAAGUGGAUGGAGAAGUACCCCUUACCUGACUUAAAAGAGAGCCCUGAAGGUGAGAAGAAAAAACGGUGUCAUGCAGAGAAGAAGAAAUGACAAGUUGGAGAAGAAAUAUUCUCUGUCCUCUUCCAGUACUGGGUUUUAUGUAGUGACAAGAGCUAUAAGGACAGGCACAACUAAAAUUAAAUAAAAAAAGGACUCAAAAAAUAAAAAAAGGAAAU
Molecule: long non-coding RNA, 758 nt
Filed under: Oryctolagus cuniculus (rabbit)
Lineage: Eukaryota; Metazoa; Chordata; Mammalia; Lagomorpha; Leporidae
Description: lncRNA (ENSOCUG00000038709.1)
Source: RNAcentral